GACGAACGCUGGCGGCGUGGAUUAGGCAUGCAAGUCGAGCGUGUACCUGUAGCAAUACAGGGAAAGCGGCGUAAGGGACAGGAAUACGUAGACUACCUACCCUCAGGUUCAGGAUAGCUGCGGGAAACUGCAAUUAAUACUGAAUGAUAUCUCCGGAUCAAAGGUGUGAUUCCGCCGGAGGAUGGGUCUGCGCCCUAUUAGCUUGUUGGUGGGUAACGGCCUACCAAGGCAANGAUGGGUAGCAGGUGUGAGAGCACGACCUGCGUCACUGGGGACUGAGACACUGCCCAGACACCUACGGGUGGCUGCAGUCGAGGAUCUUCGGCAAUGGGCGCAAGCCUGACCGAGCGACGCCGCGUGCGGGAUGAAGGCCU
This 374-nucleotide ribosomal RNA is filed under the name uncultured bacterium. RNAcentral describes it as "bacterial SSU rRNA". It matches the Rfam family "Bacterial small subunit ribosomal RNA", at positions 28 to 417 of the family's 1533-position model. The record is from RNAcentral.